GUGCUUCAGCAGCACAUAUACUAAAAUUGGAACAAUACAGAGACGAUUAGUAUGGUCCCUGCACAGGGAUGAUGUGCAAAUUCAUGAAGUGUUCCAUAUUUCC
Molecule: small nuclear RNA, 103 nt
Organism: Suricata suricatta (meerkat)
Lineage: Eukaryota; Metazoa; Chordata; Mammalia; Carnivora; Herpestidae
Source: Ensembl